CGUUGCCCUCCCUAUGUGCUGGCACGAGAGGGCUGCUCUCAGCUGCUGGAGAGAACACGUCCUCACCCGCCCUCUGGGGACAGAAGGGCUUUCCCAACCCUGAUUUGGGGCAGAGCCCUGGUGAGAGGUGUCCCAUGGGCCUAGGACAGCCCCGCCGGGCUUGGACAGACUGAUGGAAGCUGGGCUGAGCUCCAAGGCCAGGCUUUGCCCGCUUGGCUCCGAGAAGCUACGGGAAGUACUGGUCCUGCUGUUCCCAUAGUGGUGAAUACGCUCGAGCUUGGCCACUCCUGGGUGCCCAAAGCUGCUCUCCCACCCGGGACCUGGGGAGAGUGACCGACAGGCUGGUGAGGUGCUUGGCCCAUUUGUUGAUCCCACAAGCCACCUAUCCGACUCCACGCUGGUGCCAAGGAGAGGCAGAAGCCAGACAGACCCCGGCCGGGGAUCACAGUCUAGUGGAGAAAGAAGCUCAGCAAUGAGCCAGACCCAAGGCAGUCAUGGGAGGAGAGGCCCCGAGGGCGCUGGUAACCAGGAGGGAGGUCUGUCCAGGGAGGGCCCUGGAGGGCUUCUCAGAGGAAGUGGCCUUGGCCUUGGGCACCUUAUCCACCUGUUACCUUUGGCUACUAUUCCCCUGCUUGGAGGUUCCCCGACUCUAGUGUGCGUGACCGUCCCUGGGGCAUUCUGGGCACCAGCCCCAGGGAUUCAGAUCCAGGAAGUCUGCGUGGGCCCAGGACUCUGCAGGCUUAACUCGCUUAAAGCAGGGUGACGAUGCUGGCGACAGCUGCAGGGCUGGGUGCAGGACAUAAGCCCCCCGGGCGUGAGGCCCCAGAGAGCAGGCCCGACACCACGAUUCCCAGCACCUCUUCUGCGGACGCUGCUCUUCAGGUGUGGUUGUCCCGGUGGGGAAAUUCAGAGCCUCUCAGCGCUGGGCCACGGGCACCGCGGGUCACUGGCCACAGGGAGAGGAAGGCAAGGAGACAGAGUCAGAGCAGGGGGCUAUGUGGGUUGGGUGGCCAGAUAAAAUAGAGGACAUCCAGUUCAAUCUGAAUUUCAGAUAAACACCAAAUAAUUUUUUUGUAUGUGUCCCAAGUGAUGCUGGAUUCUGUGUUUUUAUUUGCUAUAUCUGGCAACCGUAUGUGCAGGUCCCAGCCAGAGCAUCUAUUGAUCACCUUUGAUAUGCCAAGUACUCUGCUGAGUAGACAGUUUCUGCUCUUCGUUCUAUUAAUAGAUAUUGGUUGGGCACCUGUUACACGCCAGGACAGUUCUAGUGGGAGAUAGGGAUUCCGCAAUGAGCAAAACAGACAUAAACCCUGCCCCCUUAGCACUCGCAUUUGAGGGAGGGGACAGAAAGUACAUAAACAAAUAACAAUAUAAUGUCAGGUGAUAAAAGGGCUAAGUAGAAAAUAAAGCAGGCUAAGGGGGGUGGGGUGGGCUUUGUUGCUAACCUAUGUGGGGUGGAAGGAGGUCCUCUGAGUAGAGACAGGCCGGAGGUGAGCACAUCUGGGAGAGGCACUGCCGCAGAAGGAACAGCAUGUGCAAAGGCCCUGAGGAGGCCGUGCUGGGAGAGUUCGAGGCACAGAGAGCCUGGAGCCGCGCAAACAGGGGUCGGGUGUUAGGGGUGAAGUCCAAGCAGGGGCCGAGCCUGGCAGGCCGUGUUGGCCACGGCAGGGAGUUUGGUCUGAGCAAGAUGAGAGCCGCCAGAGGGUUUCAAGCAAAGGAGCGACAGGACCUGCCUUGCCUGUUCAGCCUGUGCACCCUUUACAGGUGGCCAGAUGAGGGUUCAGCGCUGCCAGGGAGCUGCCUGCCCUCCCUCCUCGCUGAGCUCCAGAAGCCAAUGUUCACUGAGGGCCUGGCAGGGUCUAAGCACUCUGCCCCGAUGGCGCACAAGUGAUGACAUGCUGUGACUGUAGCUACGAGGCGAUGGACAGGGUGGGGUGAGGGAGCAGUUGGGUGUGUCAGGUGGGGUCGGUCGGGGAAGCCCUCCUGAGAAGGUGGCGUCUAGAACAGGGAAAGAGAGGGCUGCGGGGAGCGCCCGGCAUCUGUACCGCAAGUCCCGGGAAGAGGCGGUCCUGACACCCCCACCUGCCCUCCGGUGGCCACCCCGGCCUGAAGGGAGCCUGCUUCCUCCCUCCCUGGUGCCAGCCUGCAUUUUGAACCCCCUGGAAAGCCUCUGCUUUCUGGGCCCCUUCCCGGCUCAGCCGGGCCUUAGCAGAGCCCCUGAGGCCUGAUGAGCACUUGGCUGGAGCCUCCCCGGGCAGGGGGCCGCUGUCCCGGCAGGGUGGGGCGUGGGCUCAGAGUGGCCUCUGGACACACCACGCCCCCCGUCCCGGCCAUGCCGACUCUGCAGCCGGCCUCCAGGAUGGCUUUCCUCUCUCUUAACGGGCAGGGGCGCUGCCAACUGCAAUGGAUGAGUUACAGCCAUGCUGCGGGGAGCCGGGCAUCCACCAGCCACCUGCCAACAGCCCUAACACCAGCUGGGCUGCGGCGCCGAUCAGACCCAGGAGGAGAGUGGGGAACUGUCCGGUUUUUCUUGAAAAAUUCUCCAGCAGGGAGCUGUUUGCUGGGCUGUGUGUGCAUGUGUGGUACGUGUGUGUGUGCACGGUGAUGUGUGUGUGUGCACGAUGAGGUGUGUUGUGUGAUGUGUGUGUGGCGUGUACGUGUGUGGUGUGUGUGUGCGGUGUGUGUGUGUGCACGAUGUGGUGUGUUGUGUGCUGUGUGUGUGGUGUGUACGUGUGUGGCGUGCACCUGCGGGUGGGAGUUUUGCCUGUGUGCCCAUGUAGUCCUGCGGCGCCCGGGGUGGGGAAUGAGGUUCUGUGCUGGUGGAACAAGCCAGGGACUCCCCCUGGGUGCUGCAGGUUCUGUGCCCUUGCUCCCGACCUCUGUCCUUGACACCCUCAUGUUCAUCACGGCCACCCCAGCAGGAGACAGCCAGGUCAUACCUGGUAUCUGCCCUGUCCCCCUGUCCCUGAGGCCGAUCCUGCAGCCACUUCUACUCUCUCGGAUGUCUCCCCACCCUGGGCGGCAGGAGAAAUGGAGGUGGCAGCAUGGAGGCCACUGCCUGGAAGGGCUCCCAGGUCAGGGGUUCGGGGGCUCUUUGGAGCGGACCCCCUGAGUCUCCUCUCCCCUGAAGCCUGAGCGGAUGUGGGCUGGGAACGUUAGCUGAGUUCUGAGAGAUAUAUGACGGGGCUGCUUGGUUGGGCAGAGAAUGCCGUUCUCUGACACAUGGCAGCCCCUCCCGAGUGCUGGCUGGCUCAGGGCUCUGCGAAUCGUCUCUUGUGGUCCCCUGGUCACCCUGGACACAGACGCUGGCGUGUAACCUUCGUCUGCUGACAGGGAAACAGAGGCUCAGGGAAGGUAGGUGGAGGUGGGGUGGCUGAGGGAACUGGCCCUUCCCUCUUGUCACGGCUUCAGAACUGAGAUUCCUGCUCAGCGGACCAUCACCCACUGUGCACCUGGCACCAAGGCCUCGUUACUGUUAGCCCACUUCAUGGAUGAGAAAACUGAGGCUGAGGAAACUAAGGAAUCUCUUCCGGUGACCACGCUAGGAAGCAGAAUGUAGCCCGGGGCUGUCUGACUCUCAGUCUGGCCCCCUUCAAGGUCCUCUGGUCCAGGUGCUCGUGGGAGGAUGGAUUGUGUCGGGAUGGGUGGAGGCUGAUGGGGUGGGAGAGGCCCACAGCUGUGUGGGCUCUGCCAGGUAAGUGCCGGGAGGAGCGGGUGUUCCAGGGCACCCAGGCCCUGUUGGGGUGUGCAGGGGACGGUGGGAUGAGUCAGAGAUGUCACUAGAAAGGAUAAAUUCUUCUGCAUACGGUGCCACCUUGUUUUGCUUCUAAGGAAAAAGAAGUAACCUUCACCCUAGCCAGGUGAGCACGUUUCUUGGGAAUUAGUGACAGAGCUGGCCACAGCCCCGCAGCAGGAGGCCACACCAUGGUUACACACAGGAGUUCAGAAGCACCUGUCAGCACCCCCAUCACCGGACCAGAGCCCACAUUCCCUCUGUAAAGCUGGCCCUACCCUGGUAGAGGAGACUCCCCCAUCAGCCUCUGGGUUCCAGGAGAGGCACAUGGCUCUCAAGGCAGCUGGGCUGGAGCCGGGGCCUGGUGAAGACGCAGAGGUGGCCCUUCCCGCUCCUCAGACAGGUCCUUGCCCCUGUACCCCAUCCUAGGGGAUCUGCUGUCCUCGCCCCUGCAGGGUUUGCCCCAUCACUCCAUGCCGUGGCUGGGACCACAGGGCAGCUCCCAGGUGUGGGGCAAGGUUGCCAUGGCGACCCGCGUCAUGGGCCAGCACUCUGAGCUCCGCUGACAGCUUGCCGGGCGGCGCCUCCGGAGCCCGAUCACAGAGAUGUGCUUUGUGGCAGCUCGACGUUCAGCCCGUUCUCCCCAAACGUGGCUCUCCAAGGGGUGAGCACACGGUGGGUUCCAAGGCGAGGAGCCCUUGGGGACCCGCCAGCCUUGGGCCGUUACCAGGAAGUGAACGGCAGGAAGGUGGUCUGAUCUGCGGUGUCUCCCGGCGUGGGCUCUGCACGCCCGGCGCUCACUCUCCUCCGCGCCCACACCCCUAACCGCCAAGGCAGCAAGCUCCCAGGCUCUGAAGCUAGGCUCCCCUCACGCUGUCGUUCCAAAGGCCCCAAGUGGAAACAUGUUCUUCCUAGAAGAUGUUUUAUGAUCACGUGUAGCAUUUGACAAGGGAUGGACUGAGCCAGGCUGUGGGCUGGGCAGUGACUGAUUCUGUAGCUGGGGUACGUAAAUGUGCUGGAGUCUGCAAUGGACACGUCAUCACAGGCCCAGAUCCGCAAAGCCAAGGGCAGACCUGUUUGACUCCAUCUGCUGGCUGAGCUAGAACUCCCUGAGCCCUGAGCGUUAUGUCACCACCCGCAUCAUCUCCUCCAUCCCUCCCCGCGCUCCCCACCCCAUGGUCCUCGCCAACACUUCUGCCACCUUCCACUUCUUAUUCCUUAUUUGCUGGGUCCUGCCUUGCACCCUCCCAUCAGCAAACACAUCUUAUCAGGUGUGGCCGAAGCAAAAAAAAAAAAAAAAGCACAACAGUGAAAAGAUAUGGCCAGUGACACACAAUACAACUUAGCCUUACCGGAUGCACACCGCAUGGGGACCUCAUGGAGUGACAACAGAGAGGGAAGGACGGUGAAACGAGCCUGGCUACCCAAGUUCUGAAGGAGGCAGUGGGGGAGGGUCACAGAAGGGAGGGCAGAAUUCUGCUGCAGACCCUUUCAGUGGCCACCCUGUUCUCACCCCCUCUGGGUCUUCCCACUGCUUCCCAGAGUCCCUCACGAUGUUUCUGUGCUGAGCCAGGGCCCCCAGACACCCAGCCAAUAAUAGCUUCUUAGAAGCUUGUGUCGGGUGCACGCUGGUGUAAUGGACUCACAGAACGUCACAGCCUGCGGGGGAUAUCCGGAAUAUUCCCCCCAGAGUACAAAGAUGGAUCUUACUUUCCUCUGUGUCUAGGAAGAUGGCGACCCUCUUGCUACCUGGGGCUGAUUCUCUGCAAACCAGGAAGGACUGAUAUGUGGUCAGGGAGGUUUUGUCUGCUCUUCUGGAAACGAGGGAGGCUCCGUCCAACGGGAUGACUACAGUUGCUGCCCCUACGGUUUCGUCAUCACAGUGAGUGAGUUCAUAGUUUGCAGGGAGGGGAAGCAGUUUAGUCUCUGCUGAAAGCGGAAUUGGCCGGGCUGUACUCGGAGCUCUCUUGGCAUCAAAACCAGAACUUACGAAGAACCAAACCAAAACAAAACAGAACUUACAUUCCUGGUGCACGAGCACAGGCGGCUGGGAACAAGUCAUGUUCACACUUGUGAGAAGCGUGUUCCCGCCACCUCCCUCGGCACUUUGAACUCCCCCCUGGCUCCCCUCCAGCGUGCAGGGCUGCCGUUUCCUCUGGCACCCACUCCCACCUCACGCUCUGUCAAAAUGCUUUCAAGAAACGUGAGGACGAAAUGUAACUAACAUGUACCUUCGUGUGAAAAAGGACAGCAGAGGUCUGAGCAGGCCCUGGGAGAGGCAACUGCACAGGAAGAGAGGAAGAGCCUGGACUGGGAGAUUCACACUUCUGUCGAGGCCUCACCCUCCUCCUGGGGCCGCCACCACCAUGCUGGCCUCGGGGAACCACUUUGACUUUUAGCUUCUCUGAGCUGGGAAGUAGGCAUCAGUAGCCUUGGUUUCCUUAUGAGGGAUACCUACCUCUCCAUCCCCGAAACCGCCUUCCAGGAACAGGAGGAGAUCAGGUCACGACCGUUAACAGAAAGGAGUUUUGCAGACUGCAACUCAGGCCACAUUGUUAUGUAUCUGUGUGAGUCUGUUAGAUCAGAUGGUAUUAAAUUUAACUAAAUGGCAUUUAUGUAUUCAUGCAAUAAAUAUUUGUUGAGUGUCUA
Aethalodelphis obliquidens (Pacific white-sided dolphin) is the source of this 6379-nucleotide long non-coding RNA. RefSeq lists it as uncharacterized. The record is from RefSeq and is a predicted model, not a curated record. Lineage: Eukaryota; Metazoa; Chordata; Mammalia; Artiodactyla; Delphinidae. The transcript is spliced from 3 exons.